CGGGAUAUAGAGGUGCAGUCGGCGUUCUAACUAUCCCACUGGCCCUCUACGUCUUGGA
RNAcentral lists this microRNA precursor (58 nucleotides) under Branchiostoma lanceolatum (amphioxus). RNAcentral's name for it is "Bla-Mir-193-P1h1_pre stem-loop". Lineage: Eukaryota; Metazoa; Chordata; Leptocardii; Amphioxiformes; Branchiostomatidae. The record is from RNAcentral.